GUGCAGGAGUCAGUCCCAGUCAGGACACAGCAUGGACAUGAAGGCCCCUGCUCAGCUCCUGGGGCUCCUGCUGCUCUGGCUCCCAGGUGCCAGAUGUGACAUCCAGAUGACCCAGUCUCCAUCCUCCCUGUCUGCAUCUUUAGGAGACACAGUCACNAUCAAUUGCCAGGCCAGCCAGAGUGUUAGCAGUUAUUUAAAUUGGUAUCAGCAGAAACCAGGGAAAGCCCCUAAGCUCCUGAUCUAUAAGGCAUCUAGUUUGCAAAGCGUGGUCUCCUCGAGGUUCAGUGGCAGUGGAUCUGGGACAGAUUUCACUCUCACCAUCAGCAGCCUGGACUCUGAAGAUGUUGGAACUUAUUACUGUCAACAGUAUAGUAGUAGUCCUCCCACAGUGUUACAAGCCCUCACAUAA
Non-coding RNA from Galeopterus variegatus (Sunda flying lemur), 409 nucleotides. Lineage: Eukaryota; Metazoa; Chordata; Mammalia; Dermoptera; Cynocephalidae. The record is from the annotation of a RefSeq genome assembly.